AGACCUCACAGUGAAAUGCUGAAUACAACAGGUGUAGUAGACCUCACAGUGAAAUGCUGAAUACAACAGGUGUAGACCUCACAGUGAAAUACUUACUUACAGGCUCUAACCAACAGUGCAAAAAAGGUAUUAGGUGAACAAUAUUACAAUUAGGUAAAGAAACAAAACAACAGUAAAAAGACAGGCUAUAUACAGUAGAGGCUAUAUACAGUAGAGGCUAUAUACAGUAGAGAGGCUAUAUACAGUAGAGGCUAUAUACAGUAGAGAGGCUAUAUACAGUAGAGAGGCUAUAUACAGUAGAGAGGCUAUAUACAGUAGAGAGGCUAUAUACAGUAGAGAGGAUAUAUACAGUAGAGAGGCUAUAUACAGUAGAGAGGCUAUAUACAGUAGAGAGGCUAUAUACAGUAGAGAGGCUAUAUACAGUAGAGAGGCUAUAUACAGUAGAGAGGCUAUAUACAGUAGAGGCUAUAUACAGUAGAGGCUAUAU
RNAcentral lists this long non-coding RNA (487 nucleotides) under Salmo salar (Atlantic salmon). RNAcentral describes it as "lncRNA (ENSSSAG00000089652.1)". The record is from RNAcentral. Lineage: Eukaryota; Metazoa; Chordata; Actinopteri; Salmoniformes; Salmonidae.